CAAAAGAAGCCGAAGAAGAAGUAGCCAGGUACCCUACCGUGUCUUCGAGCAGCCGGUCAGCUCAGGACAACAGCAUCCAAAUCAUGGUUUUCGAGGAGAUGAUCCUGAACGGAGAGCCCGAUGAUGAUGAAGAAGAGGAGGACGAAGAAAUGGUGGGUUCUUUGAGAUGAAGAUGAAGCAUGACGAGAGCAACGACGCCUUCAUCAGAGCGUCCCGCGCCGUCACCGACAACAUGACCGACCUAAUAGGUGGGUUGUUUUCAAAGACUGAGAUGUCUGAGGUCCUAACAGAGAUUUUGAAGGUGGAUCCUUCCUAAAGACUCCUUUCUGAAGCAGUGUGAACAAGAUAUCAUCCCCAGUAUACUGGAGGUGGGCAGUUCUGGAAUUAUCUCCUCUUUUAUUGGGUCUGUAGAUGUACAGCCAACUCGCACAUCCAAUCCAGCGAGCCAAGGCCAUGGGGCUUCAGUUCCACUCCAAGAUCCUGGACGUUGACAACAUCGAUCUGGCUAUGGGGAAGAUGAUGGACCAGGGGCCGGUUCCAGGCUCGGUUAGUCAUGGUGAUCCGAAACACCAGAGGAGACAUGGUGGAGGGAGACCCUGAUGAUGUACGUUUGGGCUCUGUGUCGAGACCAGGAGGAGCUGAACCCGUACGCCGCCUGGAGGCUGCUGGACAUCUCUGCCUCCAGCACCGAACAGAUCCUCUGAGACUCUUUGAUAGGCACAGAAACACCCAGGGAGAGGACACCGUGCACCGAACGGGCCUCGGACCGGCCAGGGAGGGUCGGUUCUGGUGGGGGGGAUGGACUGACGUCACUACAGGAGCGUUGGGGAGUUGUGCUGCUAAACGCUAGCUGCUUCACUGUCUCCCUUGGUUUUUUUUUUGUUUAGUUUUUUUUUACUACACUUGCUUUGGGUUCACUCACUUCGGGUUUCCUGACCAUUCCUCUGGCUCACACUAGGGGGCAGUAGAGCACCAACAACACUCACCACAGUCCUUCCUGCAACCUGCAUGAAUGAGGAUCUGUUUGCUGCAGGGCUGCCAGUGUUAAAUGAUGAAUAAAGUUGUUUCACGUUGCUAUUUUACUAUGAUUUUGAGAAUAUGUGAUGCGGAAAUCAUGGGAACGGUUUGGUAACUUGGGGUUGGAGGUAGUUUCUUGAAGCUGCUGCCCUCCCCCGUCUAACGAGUCCAUCUCCUUCCUCUGGGAGGCGGUGUUUCUGUAGCGGUCGGUGCCAAUCAGCGCUCUGCCAUCCUCAUCCUCAAGGAUCUCAGUCCUUGUUUGUAUGAUAAUCAUUUAAUUGUUAAACUGUGAGAAAGUCUAUUUAUUAUGAAGAAUAAAGAUGAACCCUGUUUUCUCAUGA
Molecule: long non-coding RNA, 1358 nt
Organism: Amphiprion ocellaris (clown anemonefish)
Lineage: Eukaryota; Metazoa; Chordata; Actinopteri; Pomacentridae
Exons: 7
Source: RefSeq, a predicted model, not a curated record